RNAcentral lists this ribosomal RNA (253 nucleotides) under uncultured bacterium. RNAcentral describes it as "partial 16S ribosomal RNA". It matches the Rfam family "Bacterial small subunit ribosomal RNA", at positions 524 to 776 of the family's 1533-position model. The record is from RNAcentral.
UACGGAGGGGGCUAGCGUUGUUCGGAAUUACUGGGCGUAAAGCGCGCGUAGGCGGAUUGUUAAGUCAGGGGUGAAAUGCCGAGGCUCAACCUCGGAACUGCCUUUGAUACUGGCAAUCUGGAGUACGGGAGAGGUGAGUGGAAUUCCGAGUGUAGAGGUGAAAUUCGUAGAUAUUCGGAGGAACACCAGAAGCGAAGGCGGCUCACUGGCCCGAUACUGACGCUGAGGCGCGAAAGCGUGGGGAGCAAACAGG